RNAcentral lists this ribosomal RNA (468 nucleotides) under uncultured bacterium. RNAcentral describes it as "partial 16S ribosomal RNA". It matches the Rfam family "Bacterial small subunit ribosomal RNA", at positions 28 to 507 of the family's 1533-position model. The record is from RNAcentral.
GACGAACGCUGGCGGCGUGCUUAACACAUGCAAGUCGAACGGAAAGGCCCUGCUUUUGUGGGGUGCUCGAGUGGCGAACGGGUGAGUAACACGUGAGUAACCUGCCCUUGACUUUGGGAUAACUUCAGGAAACUGGGGCUAAUACCGGAUAGGAGCUCCUGCUGCAUGGUGGGGGUUGGAAAGUUUCGGCGGUUGGGGAUGGACUCGCGGCUUAUCAGCUUGUUGGUGGGGUAGUGGCUUACCAAGGCUUUGACGGGUAGCCGGCCUGAGAGGGUGACCGGCCACAUUGGGACUGAGAUACGGCCCAGAAUCCUACGGGAGGCAGGAGGGGGGAAUAUUGCACAAUGGGCGGAAGCCUGAUGCAGCAACGCCGCGUGCGGGAUGACGGCCUUCGGGUUGUAAACCGCUUUCGACUGUGACGAAGCGUGAGUGACGGUAAUGGGUAAAGAAGCACCGGCUAACUACGUG